This is a small nuclear RNA of Piliocolobus tephrosceles (Ugandan red Colobus), 164 nucleotides long. RefSeq annotates it as U1 spliceosomal RNA. The transcript has a single exon. The record is from RefSeq and is a predicted model, not a curated record. NCBI's taxonomy places the organism in Eukaryota, Metazoa, Chordata, Mammalia, Primates, Cercopithecidae.
AUACUUCCCUGGUAGGGGAAAUACCAUGAUCGUGAAAGUGGUUUUUCUACAGUGAGGCUUAUCUAUUGUACUUCGAAUGUGCUGAUCCCUGCGAUUUCCUCAAAUACUGGAAACUCGACUGCAUAAUUUGUGGUAGUGGGAAACUGCGUUCGCGCUUUCCCCUG